RNAcentral lists this ribosomal RNA (253 nucleotides) under uncultured bacterium. RNAcentral describes it as "partial 16S ribosomal RNA". It matches the Rfam family "Bacterial small subunit ribosomal RNA", at positions 524 to 776 of the family's 1533-position model. The record is from RNAcentral.
UACGAAGGGGGCUAGCGUUGCUCGGAAUCACUGGGCGUAAAGCGCACGUAGGCGGAUUGUUAAGUCAGGGGUGAAAUCCUGGAGCUCAACUCCAGAACUGCCUUUGAUACUGGCGAUCUUGAGUCCGGGAGAGGUGAGUGGAACUGCGAGUGUAGAGGUGAAAUUCGUAGAUAUUCGAAAGAACACCAGUGGCGAAGGCGGCUCACUGGCCCGGUACUGACGCUGAGGUGCGAAAGCGUGGGGAGCAAACAGG